Non-coding RNA from Dipodomys ordii (Ord's kangaroo rat), 65 nucleotides. Lineage: Eukaryota; Metazoa; Chordata; Mammalia; Rodentia; Heteromyidae. The record is from Rfam.
GGUGGCUCAGUGUUAGAGCGCUUGCCUUGCAUGCAAGAGCCCUUGGGUUUGAUUCCUUAGCACCA